RNAcentral lists this ribosomal RNA (292 nucleotides) under uncultured bacterium. RNAcentral's name for it is "partial 16S ribosomal RNA". It matches the Rfam family "Bacterial small subunit ribosomal RNA", at positions 505 to 796 of the family's 1533-position model. The record is from RNAcentral.
GUGUCAGCAGCCGCGGUAAGACGAAGGAUGCAAGCGUUAUCCGGAUUCAUUGGGUUUAAAGGGUGCGUAGGCGGCCUAAUAAGUCAGUGGUGAAAUCUCCUCGCUUAACGAGGAAACUGCCAUUGAUACUGUUGGGCUUGAGUACAGAUGCUGUGGGCGGAAUAUGACAUGUAGUGGUGAAAUACAUAGAGAUGUCAUAGAACACCGAUUGCGAAGGCAGCUCACAAAACUGUAACUGACGCUGAGGCACGAAAGUGCGGGGAUCAAACAGGAUUAGAAACCCGAGUAGUCC